This 373-nucleotide ribosomal RNA is filed under the name uncultured Alphaproteobacteria bacterium. Its description in RNAcentral is "bacterial SSU rRNA". It matches the Rfam family "Bacterial small subunit ribosomal RNA", at positions 521 to 896 of the family's 1533-position model. Lineage: Bacteria; Pseudomonadati; Pseudomonadota; Alphaproteobacteria. The record is from RNAcentral.
UAAUACGAAGGGACCUAGCGUAGUUCGGAAUUACUGGGCUUAAAGAGCACGUAGGUGGUUAAAAAAGUUGGUGGUGAAAUCCCAGAGCUCAACUCUGGAACUGCCAUCAAAACUUUUUAGCUAGAGUAAGAUAGAGGAAAGCAGAAUUUCUAGUGUAGAGGUGAAAUUCGUAGAUAUUAGAAAGAAUACCAAUUGCGAAGGCAGCUUUCUGGAUCUUUACUGACACUGAGGUGCGAAAGCAUGGGUAGCGAAGAGGAUUAGAUACCCUCGUAGUCCAUGCCGUAAACGAUGUGUGCUAGACGUUGGAAAUUUAUUUUCAGUGUCGCAGCAAAAGCGUUAAGCACACCGCCUGGGGAGUACGACCGCAAGGUUA